UAGGACGAUCCUAAUCUUGGUGGGUGGC
This 28-nucleotide non-coding RNA is filed under the name Mus musculus (house mouse). Lineage: Eukaryota; Metazoa; Chordata; Mammalia; Rodentia; Muridae. The record is from RNAcentral.